AGAGGGAGAAAAUCUGAGCUAUGAGAAAACAUUGAGUCUGUGCAUGUUUCUGACUUCUCAGAAAAUGGGAAGGUAAAAUAGUACCCUAUACAGGGAGGUCAACUUCUUCACUUCAUGACCCCAGGGACUUCAAAUGAUAUAACAGGUUCUUAGGACAAAAUGAAUGGAGUGAAUGAGUCCACGGUGUCAGAAUUUGUGCUUUUGGGACUUUCCCGCUCACAGAAUCUUCAGGAAGAUUCUCUAUGAUGAUGGUUGAGCAUGGCACUGAUCUUUCAUGCUUCUGAGUCCUCAGAAGAUGGGUAGGUAAAAUAACACAUGAUACGGGAAGGUCAGUUUCUCCAAAUCCACAUGGGAUUUCAAAGAAAACCAUAGAUUGUUUCUUAGGACAAAAUGAAUGAAGUGAAUCAGUCCAUGGUGUCAGAAUUUGUGCUAUUGGGACUUUCCAACUCACAGAAUCUUCAGACUAUCUGAGCCUUGGAGAAGAAGAUAGAGGCGCUUCCGUUAAAUUCUGUGUUUUCAUCUCAAUGGAUCAAAACCAGGGUCUGCACUCUAGGCAGGCAUCCUAAGACUGAGCUGCAUCCCAACACCAGAUGUUGACAUAGUCUAUUAUUUUUAAGAUUAAAAUCUUUGUUUCAUUUUCAAGUUAGGGUUUCUCUGUGUGUAGCCCUGGUUGUUCUGGACUCACAUUAUAGAUCUUACUGACCUCGAUCUCACAGAGAUACACCUGUUUCUGAUUUCUGAGUGCUGGGAUUCAAAGGUUUCUGCAACUAACAUGGAGGGGGGAACAGAAUGAUUUGGGGAUAUGGAAGGAGGAGGAGGAAAUAAGAGUGGCAGUAUGGGAAUCUGGAGGAGUCUUGAGAGAGCUAGAGAGGAUCAGGAAAUCUUUAAAAGAAAAUAUUAAUGUUAAAUAUUUUAAAGUAAAAAUAAUAAAUAAUAAGUCUUUAGAAUAUGAAAUUUUAAAUUUAAAACUUAAUCUACCAAGGUGUUAGUUGUGGACAUGUUUGAAUUCUUUAAAGUCUUGCUAGAACUCUGUGCAAAUGCUUGACCUGUAGAAUUGUAAAAUAUAUCUGCAACUAGUUUUAUGGCAUAAUGUCUAAAAUCAUUGUGUUCUAGUGGAUAUGUAUGUUGAAGCACCAUUAGCUUCAAUCUAUAAAGGCAUUUUCAAGAU
This 1168-nucleotide long non-coding RNA is filed under the name Mus musculus (house mouse). Its description in RNAcentral is "predicted gene 44840". Lineage: Eukaryota; Metazoa; Chordata; Mammalia; Rodentia; Muridae. The record is from RNAcentral.